AAGUUAUACUAUGCUGAUGCAAAGCUGAUGUUGACAAUGUGGUUUUCAUCCUGCAGUUCUGGGGGAUGGCGUGAACAUUUUUACCUGUGGUAUCUGAGGGCUACUGCCUGUUGGGCAGAUCAGAACUGAGACCUGGCAUCAGCUGUUUUCUGCAGGAAGCCAUAUGUGGCAACAAGAAGAAGGAGGCAUAAUCCCUGUUAUCUCUGUUGGCAAAGUCAACAUCAGGGAGAGUUCUUUCUGCAGUCAAUCAGGGAUCAAGCAAACUGGUGAGAAGAGUGUAGAUGAACAGAUGUAAGUAUCUGUAGAGUGAAAAGAAGACUGAGAGAAGAAACAUGCAAGGAACAAAGAAGAAAGACAACUGCCACCCAAAAUGGAGCAACUGGAAAACUUUGCAUCAGCGUGGAAGACUACACUGAAAAAUGCCUUAACAGUCAGAGUUUCCAUGAGUGCCCUCACAGACCCUGAGUCACACUUGAGGCAGCCUCUCCAGGCUUUGAGUAUGUCAUCUACAGUAUAAAUGAAAUAAAGGUAAAGACUAUUAGAAACUAUACGUAAUC
Molecule: long non-coding RNA, 557 nt
Filed under: Coturnix japonica (Japanese quail)
Lineage: Eukaryota; Metazoa; Chordata; Aves; Galliformes; Phasianidae
Description: lncRNA (ENSCJPG00005003064.1)
Source: RNAcentral